This 820-nucleotide long non-coding RNA is filed under the name Homo sapiens (human). Its description in RNAcentral is "HSALNT0063270". The record is from RNAcentral. Lineage: Eukaryota; Metazoa; Chordata; Mammalia; Primates; Hominidae.
GUAAGGACCUUGUUAAAACGCAGUUUCUGACUCAGUAGUGUGAAUGGGGCCAGAAUGCUGCAUUUCUAACACUCUCCCAGAUGGUGCCAAUGUUCCUCAUCCACAGACCACAGCUGAAGUAGCAACUAUGUAAACCUCAGGCUACUCAUCACAGUGCAGAGUGAUUUCACCUAAAGGCACAACAGCAGCUGAUUGCCACAAUACAAACAAGAGCCGCCACUUACUGACAGCAGCUACGUGCCAGGUAAGUCAAAUGAGGAAGAACACCUUCAGUGUGGGGGAGAAAUGGGUCUUCAACGUCAUCUUAGACCAGUGGCUCUCAAAGUAUAUAACAGCAGCGUCAACAUCAGCAUUAUCUGGGAACGUGUUGGAGAUGUGAAUUCUUGGGUUCCACUUCAGACAACGAAUCAGAAAUUCUGGGGGGAAGCCUCAUUUCUGUUCACCAGGCCUUUCGAUGAUUUAAUCAGGCCCUCCAGGAUUAUCUAGGAUAAUAUUCCUUACUUAAAUCCAACUGAAUAUGAGUUUUCAUACAUCUACAAAUACCCUCAAAGCAAAAUCUAAAUUAGUACUUAAAGGAAUAUUUGUGGACUGUAGCCUGGUCAAGUUGACACAUAAAGUUGACCAUCAUGGAGCGUCAGAAGAAAUAUCUCUCUGAUCGCCCUUGGAAAAAUUGUACUGGUACCUGCUUAUGAGGCUCCCAGUGGUACAGAAGACAGCUGUCUGCUCACCAAGAAGAGGACCCUCAUCAGACACUGGAUCUACUGGCAUCUUGAUCUUGGAUUUUCUAGCCUCUUUAACUGUGAGAAAUAAAAUGUUUAAG